Molecule: transfer RNA, 72 nt
Filed under: Heterocephalus glaber (naked mole-rat)
Lineage: Eukaryota; Metazoa; Chordata; Mammalia; Rodentia; Bathyergidae
Rfam family: tRNA
About the family: Transfer RNA (tRNA) molecules are approximately 80 nucleotides in length. Their secondary structure includes four short double-helical elements and three loops (D, anti-codon, and T loops).
Source: Rfam by way of RNAcentral
AGUGGUGUAGCUCAGUGGUAGAGCACUUGACUAGAAUGCAUGAGGCCCUGAGUUGGAUCCCCAGCACUACAA